This 570-nucleotide long non-coding RNA is filed under the name Elaeis guineensis (African oil palm). Its description in RNAcentral is "long non-coding RNA (EGUI_LNC058449)". Lineage: Eukaryota; Viridiplantae; Streptophyta; Magnoliopsida; Arecales; Arecaceae. The record is from RNAcentral.
GGAGCACUCAAAUGAGAUUUUAGCAGAGUUUCAGGAUAGAGUUUAGAGCUUAGAGAAGAAUGUAUCUGGGAGUCCCUUUUUAUAGACGAAAAGUGUAAUUGAUUGACAGCGACGUCUGUAACUGUUUGGUAGUGGGCCAUUCGGGGCCAUGUGGAGUUCGUUACGGAGAGUAGUGGCGUCAGGGGGCCGUUCAGGGCCACGUGGAGUUUGUUAUGGAGAGUGGAGUGGUGUUGGUUAUCGUGACUUGCCAGAGAGUGGUGAAGCAAUGUGGAAUCCGUUACAGAGAGUGGAGUAGAGUAGUCGCCAUUAUCGUGACUUGCCAGAGAGUUCGCGCCUGACGGCUGAAGCUCAGCUGGGAUGUCUGAUGGAGUGGAAUGGCUCUCUGUCUUAGCAAUCCAGGAGAAGCUCAGAUGUUUUCGAGGUUGCUGACGAGUCUACUGUUGUCGAAUGCCUUAGGUGCUGAUGCUACAAGCGGGAGUUAUUUGCUGUAGAAGCUCGGACGGAGACUUUUUGUUGGUGAAGUCUGAUAGAAGUCUGAUUGCUAGAGAAGUCCAUUUGGGAUUUGCCUGA